UUCCGGUUGAUCCCGCCAGACCUGACUGCUAUCGGAUUGAUACUAAGCCAUGCGAGUCUUUGUAGUAAUACAAGGCAGACGGCUCAGUAACACGUAGUCAACCUACCCUAUGGACGAGAAUAAUCUCGGGAAACUGAGCAUAAUUCUUGAUAGAUCAUAAUGCCUGGAAUGGUUUAUGGUUAAAAUGAUUCGUCGCCAUAGGAUGGGACUGCGGCCUAUCAGCUUGUUGGUGAGGUAAUGGCCCACCAAGGCGAUUACAGGUACGGGCUCUGAGAGGAGAAGCCCGGAGAUGGGUACUGAGACACGGACCCAGGCCCUAUGGGGCGCAGCAGGCGAGAAAACUCUGCAAUGUGCGAAAGCACGACAAGGUUAAUCCGAGUGAUUUCUGCUAAAGAAAUCUUUUGCCAGUCGUAAAACCGCUGGUGAAUAAGGGGUGGGCAAGUUCUGGUGCCAGCAGCCGCGGUAAU
RNAcentral lists this ribosomal RNA (467 nucleotides) under uncultured archaeon. Its description in RNAcentral is "bacterial SSU rRNA". It matches the Rfam family "Archaeal small subunit ribosomal RNA", at positions 1 to 474 of the family's 1478-position model. The record is from RNAcentral.